CUGGAGGAUAGCUAAUGUGAUGCUAAUUUUUAAAAAAGGCCCAAUAGGCAAACCUGGCAAUUACAGGCUGGUAAGCCUAACUUCAGUACCAGGCAAAUUGGUUGACACUAUAGUAAGGAACAUAAUUAUCAGAUACAUAAGUGAACAUGAUGUGUUGGAGAGGAGUCAACAUGGAUUUUGUAAAGGGAAAUAAUGCCUCACCAAUCUAUUAGAAUUCUUUGAGGGGGCCAAACAACAUACAUGUGGAUAAGGGUGAUCCCAAGGAUAUAGUGUA
Long non-coding RNA from Chelonia mydas (Green sea turtle), 274 nucleotides. RefSeq lists it as uncharacterized. The record is from RefSeq and is a predicted model, not a curated record. Lineage: Eukaryota; Metazoa; Chordata; Testudines; Cheloniidae. The transcript has 3 exons.